GAUGAACGCUGGCGGCGUGCCUAAUACAUGCAAGUCGAGCGAACAGAUGAGGAGCUUGCUCCUCUGACGUUAGCGGCGGACGGGUGAGUAACACGUGGAUAACCUACCUAUAAGACUGGGAUAACUUCGGGAAACCGGAGCUAAUACCGGAUAAUAUAUUGAACCGCAUGGUUCAAUAGUGAAAGACGGUUUUGCUUUCACUUAUAGAUGGAUCCGCGCCGCAUUAGCUAGUUGGUAAAGUAACGGCUUACCAAGGCGACGAUGCGUAGCCGACCUGAGAGGGUGAUCGGCCCCACUGGAACUGAGACACGGUCCAGACUCCUACGGGAGGCAGCAGUAGGGAAUCUUCCGGAAUGGGCGAAAGCGUGACGGAGCAACACCGCGUGAGUGAUGAAGGUCUUCGGCUCGUAAAACUCUGUUAUUAGGGAAGAACAAAUGUGUAAGUAGCUAUGCACGUCUUGACGGUACCUAAUCAGAAAGCCACGGCUAACUGCGUG
This 497-nucleotide ribosomal RNA is filed under the name uncultured bacterium. RNAcentral's name for it is "partial 16S ribosomal RNA". It matches the Rfam family "Bacterial small subunit ribosomal RNA", at positions 28 to 507 of the family's 1533-position model. The record is from RNAcentral.